AGUGAACGCUGGCGGUAGGCCUAACACAUGCAAGUCGAACGGCAGCACAGGAGAGCUUGCUCUCUGGGUGGCGAGUGGCGGACGGGUGAGGAAUACAUCGGAAUCUACUUUUUCGUGGGGGAUAACGUAGGGAAACUUACGCUAAUACCGCAUACGACCUACGGGUGAAAGCAGGGGACCUUCGGGCCUUGCGCGAUUGAAUGAGCCGAUGUCGGAUUAGCUAGUUGGCGGGGUAAAGGCCCACCAAGGCGACGAUCCGUAGCUGGUCUGAGAGGAUGAUCAGCCACACUGGAACUUAGACACGGUCCAGACUCCUACGGGAGGCAGCAGUGGGGAAUAUUGGACAAUGGGCGCAAGCCGGAUCCAGCCAUACCGCGUGGGUGAAGAAGGCCUUCGGGUUGUAAAGCCCUUUUGUUGGGAAAGAAAUCCAGCUGGCUAAUACCCGGUUGGGAUGACGGUACCCAAAGAAUAAGCACCGGCUAACUUCGUGCCAGCCGCCGCAGUAA
This 506-nucleotide ribosomal RNA is filed under the name uncultured bacterium. RNAcentral's name for it is "partial 16S ribosomal RNA". It matches the Rfam family "Bacterial small subunit ribosomal RNA", at positions 29 to 523 of the family's 1533-position model. The record is from RNAcentral.